Harmonia axyridis is the source of this 1384-nucleotide RNA transcript. It is a transcript of the gene named aquaporin AQPAn.G-like, with no coding region annotated. The transcript is spliced from 8 exons. The record is from RefSeq and is a predicted model, not a curated record. NCBI's taxonomy places the organism in Eukaryota, Metazoa, Arthropoda, Insecta, Coleoptera, Coccinellidae.
CUUUGUUGAGGCAUCAUGGAAAGAAUACAACACAGAGACCGGAGAUUCGUAGUGAACCAGAAAUUACAAGACUACAGAGCUGUCCUCACUGUCUAUAACAUCUUGAACGCGCUGGACCAACAUUUCAACAUGCAAAAUGGUCAAAGUGUAUUGGCUCCUGUCGAAAAAUCUCCACAACCAGCAGUCGCCAAAUGGACUCCAAGUGAUGACCAAAAAGAAGGAAACGUCAUUGGAGCUAAAGCGAAGAAAAUUUAUAUGAACGACAAUCUCAGUACUUUGGACAGGAUCGUCUUGUGCUUCGCUGAAUUCCUAGGAACAGGCAUGCUUAUAUUUAUUGGUUGUAUGGGGUGUGCCAAUAUGGGAAGUUUGCCUGAUCCCAUGAAGGUGUCUUUCGCUUUUGGAUUAGCGAUAAUGAUAGCAGUACAAUGUUUUGGACAUAUCUCAGGGAGUCAUAUCAAUCCUGCUGUUACAGUAGCUGCAGUCAUUUUGGGUCAUACACCAGUGAUGCAUAUUCCACUUUAUUUCAUAGGACAGUUAUUAGGAGGAAUUGGAGGCUUUGGUUUAUUGAAGGCUCUAAGUCCAGUAGAAGCCACUGAACCAAUAGUGAAUGGAACCACAACCCACAUCUGUUCACCAGGUCCUCUCAGCAGCGACUUGCACCCUUGGCAAGGAGUUGGCGUAGAAUUCGCUUUAACAUUCAUCCUGGUCAUGCUGUGUGCUGCAGUUUGGGAUUGCCGGAACACCGAUAAAGUGGACUCAUUGUCCAUCAGGCUUGGUUUGGCUGUAGCUGUAUUGGCAAUGGUUGGAGCCUCCUACACUGGAGCUAACAUGAAUCCAGCAAGAAGCUUUGGUCCAGCUUUAAUCAAUGGAGACUGGGAUAAUUGGUGGGUACCUAUGCAAUGUGUAUCUUCCACGAAACCUCGCUGGAUACGAUGAAGUUGUGAUACAACCCAUCAGCCGUUUGAAUGAUAAAGCAUCGUUCUGAGGCAGAAGCUCUGACUUUAGGCUAAGGGCUGGCCCUGUAGAUGGCGCCAAAGAUUGUCCGCGCAAAGUGAUGACCCCUGUUUUCCAUGAUACCAAGAAUCUCCAAGGCAAUAAGACAAGUUUGCUAAAAUGCUCCUACUCGAAUUAUGACAAAAAAAUUAUUUUUAAAUUUAGGUAAUGUAGGGGCUUAUUUCUCCGUUAAGAUACAUCGGCUGAUCGGCAAAACAAUGUUAACAAAAUUACACACCAGAAGAGGCAAUAUUUGGUGGGUUGGACCAAUGCUAGGAGGAUUGGUAGCAGGAUUACUGUACAGGAUUAUAUUCAGCAAGGAGUACGAUAUGUUGGAGCAUUCUAUUGCCGAAGUGGUACCGAUGAACGAAAGAGCUUGAUAAACUAGAAA